AGGGCACUGGAAGGUCCNUAAACCGAAAGGGGCUCUGCCCGCCCGAGGAUGGGCCGGCGGCCGAUUAGGUAGUUGGUGGGGUAACGGCCCACCAAGCCCAUAAUCGGUACGGGCAGUGAGAGCUGGAGCCCGGAGAUGGACANUGAGACACGGGUCCAGGCCCUACGGGGCGCAGCAGGCGCGAAACCUCCGCAAUGCUCGAAAGAGCGACGGGGGGACCCCAAGUGCCGUGGUACAACCACGGCUUUUCCGGAGUGUAAGAAGCUCCGGGAAUAAGGGCUGGGCAAGGCCGGUGGCAGCCGCCGCGGUAAUACCGGCGGCCCGAGUGGUGGCCACUAUUAUUGGGCCUAAAGCGUCCGUAGCCGGGCUUGUAAGUCCCUGGCGAAAUCCCACGGCUCAACCGUGGGGCUUGCUGGGGAUACUGCAAGCCUUGGGACCGGGAGAGGCCGGGGGUACUCCUGGGGUAGGGGUGAAAUCCUAUAAUCCCAGGAGGACCGCCAGUGGCGAAGGCGCCCGGCUGGAACGGGUCCGACGGUGAGGGACGAAGGCCAGGGGAGCAAACCGGAUUAGAUACCCGGGUAGUCCUGGCUGUAAAGGAUGCGGGCUAGGUGUUGCUUGGACCUCGAGUCCAAGCAGUGCCGCAGGGAAGCCG
RNAcentral lists this ribosomal RNA (652 nucleotides) under uncultured archaeon. RNAcentral describes it as "bacterial SSU rRNA". It matches the Rfam family "Archaeal small subunit ribosomal RNA", at positions 164 to 814 of the family's 1478-position model. The record is from RNAcentral.